UGCAAGUCGAGCGGAUGAAGGGAGCUUGCUCCUGGAUUCAGCGGCGGACGGGUGAGCCUUGCCUAGGAAUCUGCCUGGUAGUGGGGGAUAACGUCCGGAAACGGGCGCUAAUACCGCAUACGUCCUGAGGGAGAAAGUGGGGGAUCUUCGGACCUCACGCUAUCAGAUGAGCCUAGGUCGGAUUAGCUAGUUGGUGGGGUAAAGGCCUACCAAGGCGACGAUCCGUAACUGGUCUGAGAGGAUGAUCAGUCACACUGGAACUGAGACACGGUCCAGACUCCUACGGGAGGCAGCAGUGGGGAAUAUUGGACAAUGGGCGAAAGCCUGAUCCAGCCAUGCCGCGUGUGUGAAGAAGGUCUUCGGAUUGUAAAGCACUUUAAGUUGGGAGGAAGGGCAGUAAGUUAAUACCUUGCUGUUUUGACGUUACCAACAGAAUAAGCACCGGCUAACUUCGUGCCAGCAGCCGCGGUAAUACGAAGGGUGCAAGCGUUAAUCGGAAUUACUGGGCGUAAAGCGCGCGUAGGUGGUUCAGCAAGUUGGAUGUGAAAUCCCCGGGCUCAACCUGGGAACUGCAUCCAAAACUACUGAGCUAGAGUACGGUAGAGGGUGGUGGAAUUUCCUGUGUAGCGGUGAAAUGCGUAGAUAUAGGAAGGAACACCAGUGGCGAA
This 668-nucleotide ribosomal RNA is filed under the name Pseudomonas aeruginosa. RNAcentral describes it as "bacterial SSU rRNA". It matches the Rfam family "Bacterial small subunit ribosomal RNA", at positions 56 to 719 of the family's 1533-position model. Lineage: Bacteria; Pseudomonadati; Pseudomonadota; Gammaproteobacteria; Pseudomonadales; Pseudomonadaceae. The record is from RNAcentral.